UGUUGUUUUCUCGAAAAUCAAUUAAAAAAGGCAGGAUUUUGUGUUGUAUUGACUUUAUCAGCUUUCUGCACUCUUUUCUUGUCUUUUUUAAUGCACUUUUCGUUUAACAAGUCAACAUCAAUUUCUUUUGUUGUAAAAGGGUCAUUGGAAGGUGGCUUUCUUUUCGGAGAAAGUGUUUAUAGCCUUUGGCCUCUGCAAUCGGAGAGAUUGAGGUCUGCAGCGUAGAUCCUUCGGAGUUAGAUACAUUUGUGCUAAGUUAUAGCCUUUCAUAGACAACUUGUUGACUAUGAUCAGUCAUGUAGCUUACUCGCUUAUGCUAUUUUACCUAC
Molecule: ribosomal RNA, 329 nt
Filed under: Neocallimastigales sp.
Lineage: Eukaryota; Fungi; Neocallimastigomycota; Neocallimastigomycetes; Neocallimastigales
Description: partial large subunit ribosomal RNA
Source: RNAcentral